ACCACAUACUAGACCAAUAUAUAAUUGUCCUUUAUUCUUGUUAUGUUUUCCAAAUCCCAGUUACUAUUUACAUAGCAACAAGGCAUUUUCUUAUGAUAAAAAAUCUCUAUAUUUUUUUCUACUUGACAUUAUUUUUCAGUGGAAAAAAAAUGGCUGAAUUUACGAGUACAUCGACGAAGCUUGAAGAACAAGUAAUGGAUAGAGAAGAAGAGAAAGGUGAUGAGAAACCAAGAGAAUUAUUUCUAGCAGAGCUGAAUCUUGUUCUUGUUUUAUCAUUUUUUUCGUUAUCAUCUGAAGAACGAAAACUAGAAGAAUUUGAGAUCGAUAAUGAUAAAGAUCAUCAAGAACACAAUAUUAUUUCUAAAGUUAGUUCCAAGAAACGCGGAGGAAUCAAUAAAUACAAAGCUACUGAUCAACAUGAAUUUCCCAGGUUUCAAACCAAGAUUAAGGAUUGCAGACACUGCAGAAGAAUGUGAAGAAUAACAUCUUUAGGGCAAACCAAGCAAAAAGAAAGAAAGAAAGGUCUUUUUUCCGUUUAUGGAUACAUCACAAUGAAGAAAGAGGCAUUUGUAUUCUACUAAAUAAUUUUGAUAAAAAAAAAUAUUCAGCAUUUCAUAGAAAAAGAAGUAGAUAAAUAAAAAAAAAGUUUUGUAGUCUUAUAUAAUUACAACUAAACAAUGUAUAGACAAAUCUAGUGAUGUUAUUCACUCUUUAGUUUGUCAACAUAGAUCAAAAGUCAUCUAUGUCAAUGUAUAAUUAUUCUUGCUUUUA
This is a long non-coding RNA of Solanum lycopersicum (tomato), 771 nucleotides long. RefSeq lists it as uncharacterized. NCBI's taxonomy places the organism in Eukaryota, Viridiplantae, Streptophyta, Magnoliopsida, Solanales, Solanaceae. The record is from RefSeq and is a predicted model, not a curated record.